Molecule: unclassified non-coding RNA, 352 nt
Filed under: soil metagenome
Description: partial contains 5.8S ribosomal RNA, internal transcribed spacer 2, and large subunit ribosomal RNA
Rfam family: 5.8S ribosomal RNA (bases 1-120)
Source: RNAcentral
GAUGAAGAACGCAGCGAAAUGCGAUAAGUAAUGUGAAUUGCAGAAUUCAGUGAAUCAUCGAAUCUUUGAACGCACAUUGCGCCCGCCAGUAUUCUGGCGGGCAUGCCUGUUCGAGCGUCAUUACAACCCUCAGGCCCCCGGGCCUGGCGUUGGGGAUCGGCGGAGCCCCCCGUGGGCACACGCCGUCCCCCAAAUACAGGGGCGGUCCCGCCGCAGCUUCCAUCGCGUAGUAGCUAACACCUCGCGACUGGAGAGCGGCGCGGCCACGCCGUAAAACACCCAACUCUUCUGAAGUUGACCUCGAAUCAGGUAGGAAUACCCGCUGAACUUAAGCAUAUCAAUAAGCGGAGGA